GACGAACGCUGGCGGCGUGCUUAACACAUGCAAGUCGAACGGAAAGGCCCUGCUUUUGUGGGGUGCUCGAGUGGCGAACGGGUGAGUAACACGUGAGUAACCUGCCCUUGACUUUGGGAUAACUUCAGGAAACUGGGGCUAAUACCGGAUAGGAGCUCCUGCUGCAUGGUGGGGGUUGGAAAGUUUCGGCGGUUGGGGAUGGACUCGCGGCUUAUCAGCUUGUUGGUGGGGUAGUGGCUUACCAAGGCUUUGACGGGUAACCGGCCUGAGAGGGUGACCGGCCACAUUGGGACUGAGAUACGGCCCAGACUCCUACGGGAGGCAGCAGUGGGGAAUAUUGCACAAUGGGCGGAAGCCUGAUGCAGCAACGCCGCGUGCGGGACGACGGCCUUCGGGUUGUAAACCGCUUUCGCCUGUGACGAAGCGUGAGUGACGGUAAUGGGUAAAGAAGCACCGGCUAACUACGUG
Molecule: ribosomal RNA, 468 nt
Filed under: uncultured bacterium
Lineage: Bacteria
Description: partial 16S ribosomal RNA
Rfam family: Bacterial small subunit ribosomal RNA
Source: RNAcentral